GACCAGAUGAGCAUCAGUGGUCCGGUGUGCGGACUUCAAACCCGUAGCUGAAGAAAAUUAGAGUGGUUCGAUUCCAUCUUCUGGGCG
Nephila pilipes (giant wood spider) is the source of this 87-nucleotide non-coding RNA. NCBI's taxonomy places the organism in Eukaryota, Metazoa, Arthropoda, Arachnida, Araneae, Nephilidae. The record is from the annotation of a GenBank genome assembly.